UCGUGUCUCCGUCUUGGUGCCAGUUUUGGUCGAGAUCCCCGGGCGCGCUCACCACGCAACCGAACCCGUACCGCCCGUCGACGCUCUUGAUGCUCCUGACUUUGUCCACGCCGAGGAGGUGCUUCACGAGAGGCACCCACGGCGCGUCCUCCGGUCCGAACGGCAACACGGUUUUCAACGCGGAGGUCACGUCGAGAUCGACUCUCCCGCCGACUCUGGUGUGGAAACCCGGAUACGCGUCGCCCAAGGUCUCGUUCGCGUCGUACGUCAGCAGCUGCUUCGCGUCGCCGCGCAUCGCGGCCUCGCGCAGCGUCUUGGCGUACUCCGCCCAGCACGCGGCGACGACGCGACCGUGAUCGAUCGAUGGAAACGACUCGCGUGCCGCGGUCAUCUUCCCGUCUCCGCGCUUCUCGGCUUCCCACAGACCUGCUUCCCACGCUUCCCACGCCUGCUUUACUUCCGCCCCCCCCGCCGCCCCCCCCGCCGCAGACAGGUGAUCGAACCGCGUCAAGAACUUCUCACCCUCCUCCUUCGUGCACCUCGCCACCUCGCGUUCCCACUCGAAGAGGAUCUUCAGGUGGCGCGGCGUGACGUGGAUGAAGCCAUCGCGCUCGAACCUGAGGGAUAUCGCGCCCACUAAGUAUGGCAGGGCUAAGACGAUCGCAUCCGGCAGCCCGCGUCGUACUACUUCUGGCUCCUGCAUCGCUCCCGCGCGCGCGACGUUCGGUUGUGGCGUCGUGCGAAGGAGUCUCGCGAAAAAUAUUUGUGAGGUAUUAUUAAAUUAGACCCGCCAGACCGAUGACG
This 804-nucleotide long non-coding RNA is filed under the name Micromonas pusilla. RNAcentral's name for it is "long non-coding RNA (MPUS_LNC000121)". The record is from RNAcentral. Lineage: Eukaryota; Viridiplantae; Chlorophyta; Mamiellophyceae; Mamiellales; Mamiellaceae.